GGGGAGUUGGGGUUGGGAGAAAUGAAGAGGACGUCUACUAAAGCGAUAGUAUAGCAUCUCUCUCUUACUCUCUCUGUUUCUCGAACACGACGCAGUGUGUAGUCGACAGCAUCCCGCGCGGGUGGUCGUCUCGGAUCGAAGAGAGGAGAGACGAGACAAGGACCCGGGAAAAAAGCCGGCUGCUGCUAUUUGUAUAUUUUCUUAUAUUUAACUCUUUUCUAACGAAAACAAAAAAAAAAAUAGGAUCAAGUUUUUUCAAAUUUUUCCUCUCGUUGUUCACAAUUUCACACUUAUUAAACGCCGACCAAUUCUUCCCUCUUUUAAUCUUGUUUUUCAUCGACGUAUUGUAUAUAUAUCUUUGUUUUACCUGUUUUGUCACGAAAAAAUUCGGGGGUUUUAAAAGAUGCUCAUAAAAUUGGACUAGCCACUACCACCACCAUUAUCAGCAUCUCACACCAUCGCACUAUUACCACUAUCUUCAUCAUCAUCAUCCCAUUGCGAUCGUGAUUCUUUAUAAAUAGAGAAAGGAAAAAAGGAAGAAGGUAGGGGCGGAAGAGGGAGGAUGAUUUUAAAAAGGAAGAACGCGCUAGCGGAAGAGAUUUGAGCGUGGCGGCGGUUCCGAGAAUACACGGAAGCGAGAAAGAAAAAGAAAAAGAGGAAAGAAGAAAAGGAAGAGGUGGUGGUAAUGGUGGUAAAGGAGGAGGAGGGAAAGAAGGAGGAGAAGGAGUAAAGAAAGAAGAGAGGAAGGAGGAGAAGGAAGAGGAAGAGGAGGUAUCAGUUACUCUGGCGUCUCGUUCAUCUCGUCCAGUUCGGUUCACGUUCGUGUUCUGUCGCGUGCAAAAGAAGACACAUAUUAUAUAUACUAUAUAUAAAUAUACAUAGAUUUGUUUUCGUUAACAUUCGAAUAAUCUAUGAAGACGCCCUUCAUAAACUCGUGUGGCUACCCUCCGCGACCGCACCUGUCUCGGUCGCACGCGCAUCUUUUCUAACACAACACACGACACAACCAACAGCUACCAACCAACAAUCCAACGACGAUUGAAAACCAAAAAAAGAGUUAAAAGAAUAAUAAUAAUAAGAAUAAGAAAAUAGAAAAAGAUAGAAACCACCAAUAGGAGAAACAAAACAACAGCAGCAGUAGCAGCAAUAGUACCAACCAAUAUCAGUAUCAGUACCAGAACCAGAACCAGCACCAAACUACGAAGAAUUUCCUUGACGAUGUCUCGUUGGGAACCCGCGAAGUGUGUCGUUGCUAUUUUAAAGUACAUGCACACACACACGCACAUACGCGACGCACGCAGAUGCAUACAGGAAGGGCAAGUUAUUUCGUGCUCGUCUCGUUACUUAACACAUUUCAUUAGAUCAUUAAAAUUCCCUAGUGAGAAUAUUCUUAUGCGAAAUUACCAUUUUUUGCUGCUGCUACAAACUGCCUGAAAGGGGAUCGCGGAUUUUCUUCUUAAGGAUUAUUUAACAACAACAAAAUAAUAAAAACGAGAACAUUCCAAGUACUUGCGGGACGUUAUAAAUAUAGAGUUACCAAUAUGCGCUCGUUGUGUCUAGAUUGUCUUUUGCCGUGUUACUUGUCACGGAGAGAAGUAUCGACCCAUCUCUCGAAAUAUAAAACGGAAUAUCGAGUAGCCCGGAGAUAAGAAAGAAAGCGUUCUUUCCUUCCUUUUCUUCCUAUUCUUUUCUGUUACACAGGACAACGUAAAGAAAAAAGAGGAACUUAUUUUAUUUUUAUUUUUUUUUUAUUUUUUUUUUUCGAAAUAAAUCCUAUCGAAUAAUUAUAUUCGCGAUUUAUUUUGCACCUAUAUAAUACAUGAUAUAAAAAAAAGAUAUCGAACGAUUAGUAUCGAAAAGAAAAUAAUAUUAUAUUUCAAUACGAAUUAAUGAAACAUUUCUUCAACCCUUUAUCUUUUAGCCAUGACAUUUUCUCAUUCAUUCGAAUCUCUUUCUUCAAACUCGAGUACGACAAGUGUACGAUGAUAACCAUCUUCUUUUGCUCUCUUUCCCUUUCUCACUCACUCUCUUAGAGUAAUUUAAUUAAACCAUCGAGCUCUCUUCAGGGACCACUCCCACUAAUUACGAUCUUUCGAUCUCGCAGACGACGCAUUAAAUGACGAGACAGAGAAAAAAAAAAUAAAUGAGAGAAGAAUGAGAACUAUGU
Molecule: long non-coding RNA, 2167 nt
Filed under: Polistes dominula (European paper wasp)
Lineage: Eukaryota; Metazoa; Arthropoda; Insecta; Hymenoptera; Vespidae
Description: uncharacterized LOC107068115
Source: RNAcentral